AUUGAACGCUGGCGGCAUGCCUUACACACGCAAGUCGAACGGUAACAGGUCUUCGGAUGCUGACGAGUGGCGAACGGGUGAGUAAUACAUCGGAACGUGCCCGAUCGUGGGGGAUAACGAGGCGAAAGCUUUGCUAAUACCGCAUACGAUCUACGGAUGAAAGCGGGGGAUCUUCGGACCUCGCGCGGACGGAGCGGCCGAUGGCAGAUUAGGUAGUUGGUGGGAUAAAAGCUUACCAAGCCGACGAUCUGUAGCUGGUCUGAGAGGAUGAUCAGCCACACUGGGACUGAGACACGGCCCAGACUCCUACGGGAGGCAGCAGUGGGGAAUUUUGGACAAUGGGCGAAAGCCUGAUCCAGCCAUGCCGCGUGCAGGAUGAAGGCCUUCGGGUUGUAAACUGCUUUUGUACGGAACGAAAAGCCUCUUUCUAAUAAAGAGGGGUCAUGACGGUACCGUAAGAAUAAGCACCGGCUAACUACGUG
RNAcentral lists this ribosomal RNA (482 nucleotides) under uncultured bacterium. Its description in RNAcentral is "partial 16S ribosomal RNA". It matches the Rfam family "Bacterial small subunit ribosomal RNA", at positions 30 to 507 of the family's 1533-position model. The record is from RNAcentral.